This 1197-nucleotide unclassified non-coding RNA is filed under the name Hevea brasiliensis (rubber tree). The record is from RNAcentral. Lineage: Eukaryota; Viridiplantae; Streptophyta; Magnoliopsida; Malpighiales; Euphorbiaceae.
GUCAGCAUGGGAAUUUAGGGUUCUCCACUCUCUUCUUCGUCGUCACCUUCAUUCUAGUAUUAGACACAUUAUGGUUAGUGAUGUCUCAUUGAAUGCUGCAAAGUACUUGAAUAGUAUUCAUGGAUAUUAAAGUGUUACAUUAUUAGGAUAGAUAUGGGGGAAGGCAAAGGAAGUUCAAUUAGAAAGAUCUCUGCAGGAACGCAAGUCUUGAUUGUGCACGGAGGUUCAGCCAAAGAAUGGUGAUUUUUUUUAUCGCCUUCUCCAUGACCAUCAAUUGCCACUGAAGCUCAAGGUCCUUCUCCGGUUCCAUCAAUUCAUCGACACUCCCAUCACCAUACCUUUAUCCCAGCUGCCCAUAGCGUAAGGCAGAAAAGAAGAGGAAGUACUACAGAUUCCAAUUAGAUAUGACUGACUACCUGCUGGCCCAGGUAUUUGAUCACCAGUACUAAAUUCAGGUAAUUCAUCAGACCCAUCAAUCACAAGGCAAAUUUUCAGAGGUGCUAUUCCAUGCAAGAAAUCAUUAUGAAUCCAGCACCAAACAACAGUUUUCAAAUGGCAUUCGAAAGAGUGAGGCCAUAUUCAAAUUCGCAAAGUAAGCAAAGCAUAAGAUCCCAAUCAAACCACGUUAUCGAACAUUUACGGACAUAGAACAGUAGUUUAUAACAGCCAGGUUUCAUGAGCUCAAAUGAUUCCGCUGACAGGCCAGGGAAACAAGGCACCAAGUAGACAUACACCAAAACAUCUGCAUCCAGCUAGGACUUUUUAACUCUUCGGCACAAUUUAGAGUAUCAGCUUCGAUAGCCUCCAGAACUGCGACGAUCAUAUGGUCCAGAACGAUCACGGUUAAAACGUUCCCCUCCUUCACGACCACCACCAUCUCUGCUGCUGCGGCUUCCAUAUCGAUCUCCGUUCCUGUCAGGUCCACCUCCACCACCAUACCGACCACCUCUACCCCCUUCACUAGGGCAUUCUCUGGCAAAGUGUCCUGGCUUGCCACAAUUAUAGCAAUCUCCACCACCACCACCAGCUCCCCGACCACCACCAUAAUCACGGCUACCCCGAUCACGAUCACGGUCACGACCCCGAUCUCGGUCACGGUCACGGGGUCGAUCACUAUCAAAAUCUCUGCCUGAACCUUGCUGAGGCUGGGCUUUGUCUACAGUAAUAGCACGGCCAUCUAAGUCCAUUCCAUUCAUU